UAAGCACUUUAGUGUAUUGUCUCCUUAAUCCUCACAGCAGUCCCAUGUGGAAUGCCCUUUUUACAGAAAGCACACUGAGGCACUGGAAUAACCAGGCAAGAGGAGUUCUCUUUUCCACAGACUUGGAAUCAAAUAUGAAAGACUAGGACGUCAGAAAGAUAUCUUCUCCACAAGGGAUAAUUGACAAUAGGCCCCCACGGAAGUAUUCUCUGCAUUUCUGCAAAAAUUUAGGAAACAUUAGGUUUGACACCAUCAUCAUGUUUGCCAAGGCAGCAAAAAAUCCCAGCCGGCACAACUGCAAAUGUGAUGAAGUGGAGCAGCGAGGACAGCGUGGAAUGACUGAUUGUUUCGGAUGCUUCCAGCAAGUUUCCAAUGUUGGAGUAUUCCAUCGUCUUUGAAGUGGGAGAAGCAGGGAGUGGCUACUUUGGAGACGUCAUGGUCACGUUGGCAGGGUUUCCUUUUCUUUCUUUUCUACCUUUGCUCUCUGCCCUUAAGUGAUUCCUUGAAGUUAGAAUUAUUUUGAAAUAUUUUCA
Non-coding RNA from Microcebus murinus (gray mouse lemur), 533 nucleotides. The record is from RefSeq and is a predicted model, not a curated record. NCBI's taxonomy places the organism in Eukaryota, Metazoa, Chordata, Mammalia, Primates, Cheirogaleidae.